GAGGCAUGCUGGAGAUAUCAGAAGUGCGAAUGCUGACGUAAGUAACGAUAAAGGGGGUGAAAAGCCUCCUCGCCGGAAGACCAAGGGUUCCUGUCCAACGUUAAUCGGGGCAGGGUGAGUCGACCCCUAAGGUGAGGCCGAAAGGCGUAAUCGAUGGGAAGCAGGUUAAUAUUCCUGCACGACUUGUAAUUGCGAUGGGGGGACGGAGAAGGCUAGGUGGGCCAGGCGACGGUUGUCCUGGUGAAAGUGCGUAGGUGGUGUUUCUAGGCAAAUCCGGAGACACAACACUGAGACACGAGACGAACGCACUACGGUGCGGAAGCCAUUGAUGCCCUGCUUCCAGGAAAAGCCUCUAAGCUUCAGAUUACAAGUCAUCGUACCCCAAACCGACACAGGUGGUCGGGUAGAGAAUACCAAGG
This 419-nucleotide ribosomal RNA is filed under the name Aeromonas enteropelogenes. Its description in RNAcentral is "partial 23S ribosomal RNA". It matches the Rfam family "Bacterial large subunit ribosomal RNA", at positions 1265 to 1686 of the family's 2925-position model. Lineage: Bacteria; Pseudomonadati; Pseudomonadota; Gammaproteobacteria; Aeromonadales; Aeromonadaceae. The record is from RNAcentral.